This 460-nucleotide ribosomal RNA is filed under the name uncultured bacterium. Its description in RNAcentral is "partial 16S ribosomal RNA". It matches the Rfam family "Bacterial small subunit ribosomal RNA", at positions 338 to 795 of the family's 1533-position model. The record is from RNAcentral.
CCUACGGGUGGCAGCAGUGAGGAAUAUUGGUCAAUGGACGAAAGUCUGAACCAGCCAUGCCGCGUGCAGGAAGACGGCUCUAUGAGUUGUAAACUGCUUUUGUACAAGGGUAAACCUGAAUACGUGUAUUCAGCUGAAAGUACUGUACGAAUAAGGAUCGGCUAACUCCGUGCCAGCAGCCGCGGUAAUACGGAGGAUCCAAGCGUUAUCCGGAUUUAUUGGGUUUAAAGGGUGCGUAGGCGGAUUGAUAAGUUAGAGGUGAAAUGUCCGGGCUCAACUCGGGAACUGCCUCUAAUACUGGUGGUCUAGAGAGUAGAUGCGGUAGGCGGAAUGUAUGGUGUAGCGGUGAAAUGCUUAGAGAUCAUACAGAACACCGAUUGCGAAGGCAGCUUACCAAUCUAUAUCUGACGUUGAGGCACGAAAGCGUGGGGAGCAAACAGGAUUAGAUACCCCAGUAGUC